RNAcentral lists this long non-coding RNA (1800 nucleotides) under Homo sapiens (human). Its description in RNAcentral is "HSALNT0179691". The record is from RNAcentral. Lineage: Eukaryota; Metazoa; Chordata; Mammalia; Primates; Hominidae.
CCUUAUGCAUGCUGAACUCUGAGAGCCACCAGUGAAGAAGAUAAGUGACCCAUCUACCUGUAGCUGGAAAAUAAAGGCUCUUUGGGAUUCUUUCCCAUGAGUCUUCAUUUCACCAUAUUGGUGAGAGAAGGCAUUCAGGCCCAAUAAUUAACUGAACAUUAGCUGUGUACCAGACACUGUGGUCGACAUUGAGAUAUAACGGAUUUAAGAAAGUCUUUGUGGCUGUGGUGGCUUCAAAUCACUCCCGAGGCUUUAGAAGAAUAUAAUUGCCGUUCUAAGAAGAAUCUGAGGCCUCUAGGAGAUCUGCCAGUAGUGGCCCCAAUGUAUAACAGCACUAGCUCAGUGAAGAGAGAGAGAAAAGAUCUGAAGAGAGUGGUUGCAGUUUGAGCUCUGUCAAUGGGACAGUCCUGGGCAGGAGACUGGGGAGAAGAGGCGGCUUGCUGGUUUUCCUGAACCACUUCCACCCUGAAAGACUCCUUGCAUACAAUCAUCAGAGAAGAACCGUGGGAACCAAGAACCAUGAGCAGGAGAACCAUGAGCAGUAAGCACCUACAGGGACUGUGGAAAUGGGAGAGACACUUGGACAGAAAAGCAGCUGAAGAUGGGAUGAGAAAGCAGACAAAGGAGGGAAGUGCUUCUGAACAGAGUGCCAGUCUAUGGUGCCCAGAGCUAAAUCCUCAACUUUCAAAUCUGUGAAGACUGGAGAUUCUUAAUAUUUGAUGAUCUGGUUUAUCUGCACAUAUAACUAGCAUUAUGUUACCCUCACAUUAAGUUAUAUUCUUAGUUUCAGUUUUCCAAGAAAUGCUGCUUGAAACUACAAACAUCGUUUAAGUAUUUUUGAGCUAAAUGUAUUCUCUUUUUAAUACUCUUGCUUUAGUUUCUCUUUUUGUUUAAUUUUUUAUGGCUGGAAGAGUAUAAUUAAUUCAACAUGGUUGCUUAGAGAGACAUUUUCCAGGCCCCACUAGGCAUACUGUAGUCAUUUAUUCAAAAUUAGGCCUAGGGAAUAAGAAUCUCAAGUAAAUAAUUUAUUAUAUUUGAUGUAAAUUCAUCUAGAUUUUCUGACUUUUCUGAAAAAUAUAUGCUAAUGCCCUUAAACUGUAUGAAAUAUUUGUAGUAUACUUCUGGAAUAUCUUUAUCACCCCACAACUUUGUUUAGACAAAUACCAAUUGGAACUCAGAAAUUCAGUGUAUUACUCUGAAAGUGUGCUCAUUGGGCAAGAUUUUUUAAGCCUUUUGGACUUUAACUGGAGCAUAGUGAACUGCACUUUCUAAGAUGUGAGAAAAAUAUAUUUUUCAUAUUAUUGGUAUCAGAAACUUGUCUUCUGGGAAGCCCUUCACCCCCAAAUGGGCCCUAACUCACUUCAACCACUUAUGGUUUAUCUGAAAUUCUAAAAUGUAUGUUUUGCUGAAUUCUGAUAUAGCAAGAGCUCUUUAUUUUUCUUAAAUAACUACUUUGAAAGAAUGAUUUUGCAAUCCUAUAACUAGUACUUAUUACUUCAGAUCAUUCUAACAUGACUCAUAGAUUAAGUCCUUGCCACUCACUCAACUUUUGGCAAGCAUGAACAUCACCUCCCCAAAAUCUACAGAAAUGUUUAUACAUGCUAUGUUAACUGUGGGCUCUUCUGAGGAUUGACUGGAAAUUCAAUAAUAUAUGCGUUUUUUUUUAGCUUGGAUUCCUAUAAAUUAAAGCAAAAAUAGAAAUUGUAUUUAUAGAAUAAAUGAGAGUUUACUGUAAGAAAUAUGACAACAAAAAAAUAUUUUUGUCAUGUUUCUCAGUUUAACAAAAUACUGUUAACAAAU